Molecule: ribosomal RNA, 229 nt
Filed under: uncultured bacterium
Lineage: Bacteria
Description: partial 16S ribosomal RNA
Rfam family: Bacterial small subunit ribosomal RNA
Source: RNAcentral
UGAGUAACACGUAUCCAACCUGCCGUCCACUCUUGGCCAGCCUUCUGAAAGGAAGAUUAAUCCAGGAUGGCAUCAUGAGUUCACAUGUCCGCAUGAUUAAAGGUAUUUUCCGGUAGACGAUGGGGAUGCGUUCCAUUAGAUAGUAGGCGGGGUAACGGCCCACCUAGUCAACGAUGGAUAGGGGUUCUGAGAGGAAGGUCCCCCACAUUGGAACUGAGACACGGUCCAA